Molecule: ribosomal RNA, 446 nt
Filed under: uncultured bacterium
Lineage: Bacteria
Description: partial 16S ribosomal RNA
Rfam family: Bacterial small subunit ribosomal RNA
Source: RNAcentral
CCUACGGGUGGCAGCAGUCGAGAAUCAUUCACAAUGGGGGAAACCCUGAUGGUGCGACGCCGCGUGGGGGAAUGAAGGUCUUCGGAUUGUAAACCCCUGUCAUGUGGGAGCAAAUUAAAAAGAUAGUACCACAAGAGGAAGAGACGGCUAACUCUGUGCCAGCAGCCGCGGUAAUACAGAGGUCUCAAGCGUUGUUCGGAAUCACUGGGCGGAAAGCGUGCGUAGGCUGUUUCGUAAGUCGUGUGUGAAAGGCGCGGGCUCAACCCGCGGACGGCACAUGAUACUGCGAGACUAGAGUAAUGGAGGGGGAACCGGAAUUCUCGGUGUAGCAGUGAAAUGCGUAGAUAUCGAGAGGAACACUCGGGGCGAAGGCGGGUUCCUGGACAUUAACUGACGCUGAGGCACGAAGGCCAGGGGAGCGAAAGGGAUUAGAUACCCGGGUAGUC